CCCUCCUUCCUGCCUAGCCCGGCCCCACAAAGAGGGGCAGAUGACUCAGGGCGCAACAUCCCCAGAGGGUCCUCGCCAUCUGCUUCUGGGUGAUUCCAGCAGGAAAAGGAAAGGGGGGGCGGUUCAGGAGCUCCUCAGACUUGUCUGCUCGUCGGGACAGGGACAGGGACAUGGAGUUGAAUGUAUCUGCUGGGCAGGAGCGGAGGACAUGGACAUGCCCACUUGUCGAGCGCCGGUCACCGUCGCCUUUGGCCACCCGGGACUACUGCAUACAGCUCUGCCCUCCACUGCCUCUCCAGCCUGCCUUCUUCCUGCCACUUCCUUUGGAAAGUGUCUCAGAUACCAGUUCUCACUAAGAGGUGACUUGUGGCAGCCACGAGGCUGUGCAGAGCAGGCCACACCACGCCCGGCCCCGCCCCUGUGCCCGACCCCCACAGGGACAGGGGCCGCGGAGAGCACCCCAGGCUGCUGGCAGGGCCCAGGCCAGUAUUACGAAGA
This is a long non-coding RNA of Eptesicus fuscus (big brown bat), 498 nucleotides long. RefSeq lists it as uncharacterized. The record is from RefSeq and is a predicted model, not a curated record. Lineage: Eukaryota; Metazoa; Chordata; Mammalia; Chiroptera; Vespertilionidae. The transcript is spliced from 3 exons.